GUCUCGGUUCAGGAGAAGCCAUGCAACAGCCUUCUAAGCUGUGGGUCACAGGUUCGAAUCCUGUCCGGGGUACUA
RNAcentral lists this transfer RNA (75 nucleotides) under bacterium TMED46. Its description in RNAcentral is "tRNA-Arg". It matches the Rfam family "tRNA". From Rfam's summary of the family: Transfer RNA (tRNA) molecules are approximately 80 nucleotides in length. Their secondary structure includes four short double-helical elements and three loops (D, anti-codon, and T loops). The record is from RNAcentral.